Molecule: small nuclear RNA, 107 nt
Organism: Jaculus jaculus (lesser Egyptian jerboa)
Lineage: Eukaryota; Metazoa; Chordata; Mammalia; Rodentia; Dipodidae
Source: Ensembl
GUGCUCGCUUCAGCAGCACAUAUACUAACACUGAAACGAUACAGAGAAGAUUAGCAUGGCCCCUGCAUAAGGAUGACAUGCAAAUUUGUGAAGCGUUCCAUAUUAAA